RNAcentral lists this unclassified non-coding RNA (765 nucleotides) under Leishmania donovani. Its description in RNAcentral is "gene:unknown". Lineage: Eukaryota; Euglenozoa; Kinetoplastea; Trypanosomatida; Trypanosomatidae. The record is from RNAcentral.
UGCACCUCCCACUCUGUCUGCGGGGGGAGGGGGGGGGCUGGGCAGCCCCUCCUCUAUCCCCCCUCAUCGCUGCCAACGCCGAACCACUUCUGGUGGUGACAGGGCCAGGCACCCACGACACGGUGUGGAGGACAGAGCGAUGGAUCGCUGCUGACGUCGGCGGCCCGGUCCUGGGUGGGGUGGCGUCGGAGCGCCCCGCGACCGUGAAGAGGUCUGUGCCACACCCACCUGAUAGGCAGAGUGCCCGCGUGACUCGAGCGUGUGUCCCACCCGGCCCCUCGCAGGGCCGACGGCUGGUGUGGGGCGCCGGAGUGCCACCCCGGGGGAGAUGCACCCGGUGGCGACCGGCAUAGUGGGGUGGGUAGAGUUUUUAGGCGCCGGGGCCGUGCUGUCCGAUGAACGGGUCGGCGCAUUGCUGUGCCGGCGUGUGUCUACGGCUGCUCUGCACCGCGCGAUGGGCCCUGUGACAGACCGGGCGUAAAGUGGAGUCGAAUUCCUGUUCUACGGCAGAGCAAAUGGACACAUCAAUAAAGAUGUGCACUUCUGCGUGCUGGUGCGAGGCAUUGCAUGCGCACCACGGCGCCUUCCGCGGGCGUUCGGGGUUUUCACUGUUCUCCUCUUCUUUCACACACCUUGAACUCCUCUUUCUCUUCCUUCCGUCGAUUGCGUUGUCCGUGCCGCUUUCGCGCGACUCACAAUACCGACUUUGCGUAUUGCCUCUUUCUGCCGCUGCCGCGCCGUAUCGGGUGUGCGGCUGAGUCGCAG